GAUGAACGCUGGCGGCGUGCUUAACACAUGCAAGUCGAGCGAGAAGUCUUGAAAAGAUUCUUCGGAUGAAAUUCAAAAUGGAAAGCGGCGGACGGGUGAGUAACGCGUAGGCAACCGGCGCCAUACAAAGGGAUAGCAUUAGGAAACGAAUAUUAAUACCUUACGAAACUUAACAAGUGCAUGCUAGGUAGGUCAAGAAUUUAUCGGUAUGGGAUGGGCCGGCGUCUGAUUAGCUAGUUGGCGAGGUAAAGGCGCACCAAGGGGACGAUCAGAGGCCGACGUACGGAGGUGAGCGCCCACCUUCGAACGGAGGCACCGGCCGAGAACCUACGGCAGGCAGCGGUGGGGUAUAUUACACAAUGCGCGUAGGUCUGAUGCAGCUACGCGGCGUGAACGAUGUAUGCCGUUGAGGAAAAGAGUUCUGUUCUAAGUGAUGUGAACUGACGGUAACCAAAGAGAAAGCCCCGGCUAACUCCGUG
This 479-nucleotide ribosomal RNA is filed under the name uncultured bacterium. Its description in RNAcentral is "partial 16S ribosomal RNA". It matches the Rfam family "Bacterial small subunit ribosomal RNA", at positions 28 to 507 of the family's 1533-position model. The record is from RNAcentral.